GAGGAAAGGGCCUCAGCUGGUGCCUGGGGAGGUUUGGGGGAAAUUUCCUGGCUGGAAGGUUGGCUGAGCCUUGGAGCAGCCUGGGCUGGUGGAAGGUGUCACCCCUGGGCAGGCGAUGGGAGGAGGGGAAGGCUGGAUCCAGGUCUGGGGUCAGCUCUGCUGCCCUGCAGCCUUUCAAGGGCUGAGUAUCCCACUCAGUCAGGCUUUAGAGGAAGAUUAAUUGUUCCAAAGCCCGAUUUACAUUUCAAACCCCAGCCCAGGCCCCGUGUGAGAUCAAAGUGAGAGUGGGCUUUGGGUGUAUUGAUCAGAGACCCACGAUGCUGCCUCUUCCUGCCUCCCAUGUCUGGUACGGGAUCAAACAAGACUUUGGGAACAGAAGAACUCUCAGCAUUGUUAUUUUUUCCAGACUUUGAAGGAUUGACACCAGGCUUUAACCCCAGGCACAGCAGAGUCACACCUGACUGUUUGGGAUCUGAUCUCCUGGAGCUCCUAAACUCUGCACCAUCCAUCCUUGCCAAAUCUCCCUGUUCCAUUUGUGUCUCACACUGCUGGGGCUGCAUUCAGCAGCAGCUUUGCUCAUCUAAACACAGGCUUUACCUUGGAGUCCCUGUCCAAGGGGCUCUCUGGGCUGUUCAGGGGAUUUUGACUUCCCCAAAUAAGGAUUUUAACAACGGGCUGGCUCUGGAGCUGCAGUGAAACAGCAGGAGGAGAGCCCCAGCAGCAGCUUCAGGGAAUGAGGUUCCACACACAUUUUGUGUGUCAUCUUUAUAAACAGAGCCCUGGGGGCUUCAGCCACUCCCCAGAGGGGUUUGUGCUCAUCUUCCCACAGGAUCACGGAUCCAACCCUGACCCCCAGCACCCCCAGCCUGGGCAUCCCUGCAGCUCUGGCAGCCUCGGGGCCGUGCCCGUUCCCUGGGGAGCCUGGGCAGUGCCAGCACCUCUGGGAGAAGAACCUUGCCCUAAAUCCAGCCUGAGCCUGCCCUGCCCAGCUCCAGCCGUUAUUAAUUAACAACAACAACAUCUAAUAAAUGAACAUUUUGUUCAUCUUCUGUGAAGAAG
This 1059-nucleotide long non-coding RNA is filed under the name Cyanistes caeruleus (blue tit). RNAcentral's name for it is "lncRNA (ENSCCEG00000015323.1)". The record is from RNAcentral. Lineage: Eukaryota; Metazoa; Chordata; Aves; Passeriformes; Paridae.